UUGUUUUCAAGUGCUGAGAUUAACAUUGUGCUAUUAACAUAAUAUAACUGGCAAUCAUAACUAUUGGAGCUCUCUUAGACUGUCCUGUCCCCUUCUUACAGUGCAGAAGGCACUUGGCGCAAUGAUCCCUUGUUACUGCUUGCAGAUGGAAGUGCAAGGACUUGGACAUCUUAUGAAAAGGGGAAGAUGAACUUCCUUCUGUUUAUUUAUCUUUUUUUCUUCUCUUCCCUAUAGCUGGAAGAUUUCACAGCAGAACAUGAAGUCCUGACUGGGGAAGGAAGAUGUUGCCCCAAAAUAAAAGCAUAAAAUGGAGCUAAGCCAUGAAGAAUUUAAAUGUAAAAUAUUAGUGCAGUUAAGUAGGAGCAUCUCUGGAAUAUAAAGAAAUGUUAGUGGCAGAAUGAUGGCAGACAGGGAGCAGGAACAAGCUUUCAGGCUGAGUCUAGAGACCUUUAUUUUCUGUGUUAAAGAUACUCUGCAAUUGCUGCUGUUUCCUCCAGCAGGAGAGUGGAACUUUAUCUACCCUGGGAACACUUGGAAAUGGGUGGAAGGCAAAUGAGAACAAUUCUGCCUUGCAAGCAGACACGACGAGGAUCUGUGCAGUCUGGGUUAAGCCCUGAGUGAAAGACACUGCCCAGUUAUCAGCUGAGACAGCCCCAAGGCUCCCAGCAGCUGUAAGAUCCAUGGCAGUAAGGAUUAAAGUCUUUCAGAAUGCCAUUGGAAAAGGACUGGGGAAAGCAGGCAAGGAAAUAAGUAAUAAUGAGAAGAAAAACAGCUCAGGAUCAAGCGUAAAGCUGAGACUAUGGGCAGAAAAAUGGGACAACUGUGUUAAGGGACUUGGGGGUGCUUCUUAAAUAAGGGGAUUGGACACACUGGGCACAUAUACCAGUUGUUUGAUGUCCAACUUCCCCCUUGCACUGAUUACACAUUGAAAGCUCUGGGGAUUAACUAUUGGCACCAGGGUCUUAACAGCUACAUGUAUUUGAACAUCCUAAUUAUAGGGAAUGGCAGUGGAAUUAGAGCUGAUUCCUCCCUGUUCCUCAGUGGCUGGUUUGUCUGAUCCCAAGGCUGGGGUAAGGGCCUGUCUCUGCAUGGAGCUACAAUUACCCAAAAAUCUCUGUCUGCAUUGUAGGGAAGGGAAGUGAGGCAGAGCCUGGAGCUAAGCAGUAGCAAAACCUGAUGGAUUGCAGAUCCUGCAGGUGCCUCAGUGCUGUUUAGCAAUCUCAAGUGUGACAGAUUUGCUUCUAGAAUAGUACUGGUACAGCCAGGUUGCUCUUCAGGUUCAAACCUUUUAGUCCAGGGCUGCACUGAAGGUUUCAGUGUUCUGAGCUGGGGCUGAAGACACUGAGUUCUCUGCAGGCAGCCCCAUUGUCAAUGCAGUGUCCUCUGCAGCAUUCCCAAACCCCUGGAUGUUGAAAUAUGUUGAAAUACCCAACUGCAGCAACCCAGGCAACAAAUCCUUCUGGGAAUGGCACAGUUCUCCAGCUCUGGUGAUGAAAUUGAUUCCUGAGCUCUUACACAGGUAAGGAUUCUAUGACUUUGUGGAAGGUCGAGGAAUGACACAGAGCAUCAUAGGGAGCCAAACUAGGCACAUUAAAUAGGAGAGACAGUCCUCUGUGUUUCAAGCCCCAAACCCUGUCUUGGCUCACUUCCACACACACAGUCAGUCCUCUGCCUGCUCCUCAGGAGGGUAAAUUUGGCUGGUAUCUCUGGAAAGGACUUCUCACUGUAGCUUGUUUAGAAGGAAUUAAUCUAUUUAUAGGCAUGAUCAGGCUCUUCAUCUCUGUCUUUCCCUUAGCAUUAGGCAAUGAAAAUCCUGGCCUUACCUGUGGAUGCAGGAAUGCUACAGUUAAUUUUGGUAUGCUCUGUUAUUUAUUGAGUCCCAGAGCCCCUGUGUCUCCUUGUUUGUCCUUGUAUUAAGUACAAGUUUAUCUACAGUGAACUGCAGCAGCGCAGCACCUGGUAAGUGAAGAGCAAGUCCUGGGCUGUUCCAGCAUACUGGGAUAACUGGGCUUCUGGCUGGCAGCUCCUGGCCCUCUGCAUCCUGUCAGGAGGGGAGGCUUGAGCAGUUCCUGUAGGACACUCAGCCCCUGAGCUCUCUGGAAAUGGGGGUCCUGGUUUCUCUUGGAUGACUGUACAAAGAUCUAUCUGCAGGUCUGGACUGGGGUUCUGCAGAGCCCAGAAUGAUGAAGGCUGUCUAGAAACCAUUAAUAAAGAUCAGAACUUGAUGGCAUCAAUAACUCCCUUCGGGCUUCUUGCAGGCUGAGAUAGUGGCAGAUUGCCAAAAUUACUUAACGUCCUGGAACACCCAUUCCAGUAUGAAUAGGUUUCUUGUGUACAACUCACAUGAUCCUGGUGUUUUCCUGGUGUCUCUAUGGAGAUUGGAGACAUUCUUCUGAUCAAUUGGUUGUGGAUCUUUUCUUUGCUGAUUUCAGGUAAAUUGUCAUGUGGAAAAAAAGAAAGCAGAGAUAAUCCUCUGAAUAAUGAAUAAAGCAUCAGUCACAGAACACCAAAACAUCCUGGCUGUUUUAUAGAAGGAGUUGCAAAUAUUUUUAUUUUUUCCUUUUUGACACACUACCAGCUUGGCAGAGAUUUAGCAAGACUUGUGCAAAAAUAAUUUGCCUUAGGCAAAGCUGGAUGAAGUAUUCACAUGUGGAUCCUCAUCCAAAUGAGUCUGGAGCAUGAAUUAAAGAGUGAAGUAGUGUUAGAUUUGGGAAGCCUUCCCUGCCAAAAAAUUGGGGGUGUCUUUUGAAAGAUGUUCCAAUUUAAAACACUCAUUCUCAUGAGAUUAGGUACUUCCCUUCACAAUUGGCUCCAGUCGCUCUAGAAAAAUGAGUUAAAUGAGAUUGUUGUUACCUUGGCCAUAUUAAAAUAGUUGUCUCUGUUUUCACUGGCAUCCCAGAGAGGACAGCAAUAUGGGUAGGAGGAGAAUGAUGGUUGGGUGCUUCCUUCCCUUUAAGGGUGGAUUGUGGAAUUAAUUGGAGAAAGGGGAAAAACACUGUUUAUUGUCCCAUGAAUAUUUGGGGUGACAAGUAGGGGACCAGGUGUUUCUGCCUUGCCCAAACUGGACCCUCAGGUGGCACAGAAUGUUCCUUUGCAUUCCUGGUUGCCACUCCCAAACUUCUUAGCCCUAGUUUAUAAAUCCAGAAUGUAACCUCUUAGCUAUAGCCUGGAAAAACAAAUCCCACUUGCUGAAAGAUGGGCUCUGUUCCUUGGCAUAGCCUCUGGUGUACGUGGUAUCUGUCCAACUCCCAGAAAAUCAGAGCCACCCCAUAAAUACCUCUCUAGAUGCCUUCUGUUCUGCCAGUGGGUCUGUCUCAGGAUUCAUAGUGACUUACUCCUUCUGGUUUAGUUCCUUGGUGCCCUGUGUAGUGGCACAGCAGUUCCCUGGGAGCUUAUGGAAAUACUCCAACUCCAGUGCCAGAGUCUGGUUGCAGGGUUUUGGUAGCAACAGGUAGGGAAGGAGAAGUUGCUCAGGUGUUGUGUGUCCUGCAAAGAGGUAACUGGAAAAAAAUUAGCACACUCCCUCACAGCCCCCAGUGUGCUAUGGGGGAAAAAAAUGAGGUCACAGAGAAAAAUUCUGGGAUUUAGAUUCUGCUCUGCCUGGAUAGGACAUGAUGGUGAGUGAGAGCUGGCUUCUGUCCCAAGCAUUAACAGAGCGAAACUUUGCCUCAGUUUCUCUGCAUGUAAAUCUGAGACCAUAUAUAGGUCUCCUUUUUAAGAGGUUUUGUGAAUGUGUCAUGAACUUUAUGGCUUGUGUGUUCUGAGCCUGCUAUCAGCACUGAUAAAAAUGGUUAUUAGCUGUACUAUUACUUUAAAUCAGAGCAUCUUAACUAAUUUGGGGACUGGCCAGUGGCUCCAGUCACAUGAUGAAUACCUUAUACUCUAUUUCUAGGUGAUUCAAAGUUGGCUCUAGGCAAGGGAGAUUAGGUUUAGGGCUUGAGGCAGAGCAGGAAAUAAAACAAAGGUGUCCCAAUUGAUAGUUCAGCUUUCAGUAUAAUUUUAUUGAAGAAAGUAACUCAAGCUUUGGUUUAUUCUGAGCAUGUCAAGGACACCUUUGUAAUGUUGCUGCCCUAAGCACAGGGCUGCCCAUUAAGGGACAAAACUGGAGCCAGGAAUGGUUUGGAACCACACAAAUGCUGCAGCAUCACAGUGGGGGGAUAGGGAGUAGGAGAGGAAUCAGUUGGACUCAGAGUGAGGCCUGGUGACACUCAAAGAAGUGGCAGACAAUUUAAGAAAUUCUUUAGUCAGUAAAAUGGAGGCUCGUGUCCCUUGGAUUAAUUCCUGCUUGAAAAAGAGAAGAAAUCCUGGUCCCUGGCUGCCCAGCAGCCGUUCGUGGUGUGCAGGUGCCGGCCUGGGGCACAGACUGUGUCAGAUCUCCUGCCCUCCAAACCUUCCCGAAUGUGCCUUUCACUUUCCAGCCUCUGUUCCAGCUCUCAGCCACAGGAGAAAGCUCAGGGAGAAGCACUUCUCAGCAAGGCUGUUCUACAUAGGAAGGGUCCUGGGGCUCCAACAGCUGCUCGGGGUUUGAGUCGCCUUGGCAGAUGUUCGCUAUUCCAGCCACUUCAUUAAUUUUGGAAACAAAACCCCUGAUUAUUCCUGACCAAAGCACCCCCUUUUUGAUUGACAGCCAGUGUGUGUUUCAUCCGACAUAACCCACCGUAUUGCUCUGACCACUUACUUUUAAAAAAACAUUAAUAAAAAGAAAUAAAGUUUCUAGAGAUGUGUUAGUGUGGGCUAAUCCCGCCUGCCAGUUCAUAUGCUUGGGCUCAGGUGAGGACAUUACAUUUCUAGAGUAUGGACAGAGGUGCCAGCCACACACCUCUGGAUAUUCAGCCCUUCAGAUGUGAGAAAGAAACAUUUAAAGACAAGCAGAGUCUCUUGUCCCGUGAGCUCAGAAAGCCCAUGGUUUGCUUCCCCUCUUGAUUUCUGGGUUGGAUCUAGUCAAGCUCCUGGAAUACUCUUCAGGAAACAUUCCUCUGCUGUGUUGUGUCAGGUUUUUCAAAGGCAAGAAAAGCAGGAUAAAUUUGAAGUGGGGGUAGGGUGGGCUGCAGCUCCUGGCCAAAUCCCAAGGUAACGUAAGUAAUAAAAUGCCAUUUGCUGCUUCUUUGGGGCUUAAAUCAGUGGCUUGCUUGCUAUUGCCUCCAAAAUAUUCUUUGCAAUAAUUAUCAGCAAUACUAAUUGCUGAAGCUAAUGUUGCUGGAGCUAAUGUUGCUGGUAAUUACUUAGUUUCC
Non-coding RNA from Taeniopygia guttata (zebra finch), 5231 nucleotides. The record is from RefSeq and is a predicted model, not a curated record. Lineage: Eukaryota; Metazoa; Chordata; Aves; Passeriformes; Estrildidae.